AUUGAACGCUGGCGGCAUGCCUUACACAUGCAAGUCGAACGGUAACAGGUCUUCGGAUGCUGACGAGUGGCGAACGGGUGAGUAAUACAUCGGAACGUGCCCGAUCGUGGGGGAUAACGAGGCGAAAGCUUUGCUAAUACCGCAUACGAUCUACGGAUGAAAGCGUGGCAUCUUCCGACCUCGCGCGGACGGAGCGGCCGAUGGCAGAUUAGGUAGUUGGUGGGAUAAAAGCUUACCAAGCCGACGAUCUGUAGCUGGUCUGAGAGGAUGAUCAGCCACACUGGGACUGAGACACGGCCCAGACUCCUACGGGAGGCAGCAGUGGGGAAUUUUGGACAAAGGGCGAAAGCCUGAUCCAGCCAUGCCGCGUGCAGGAUGAAGGCCUUUGGGUUGUAAACUGCUUUUGUACGGAACGAAAAGCCUCUUUCUAAUAAAGAGGGGUCAUGACGGUACCGUAAGAAUAAGCACCGGCUAACUACGUG
Molecule: ribosomal RNA, 482 nt
Filed under: uncultured bacterium
Lineage: Bacteria
Description: partial 16S ribosomal RNA
Rfam family: Bacterial small subunit ribosomal RNA
Source: RNAcentral